GCCGGAGUGUGAAACUGGUAGACGCGCUGGACUCAAAAUCCGGCGGGCCUCCCACCCGUGAGGGUUCGACUCCCUCCCCCUGCACCA
Molecule: transfer RNA, 87 nt
Filed under: Desulfobacterales bacterium
Lineage: Bacteria; Pseudomonadati; Thermodesulfobacteriota; Desulfobacteria; Desulfobacterales
Description: tRNA-Leu
Rfam family: tRNA
About the family: Transfer RNA (tRNA) molecules are approximately 80 nucleotides in length. Their secondary structure includes four short double-helical elements and three loops (D, anti-codon, and T loops). Further hydrogen bonds mediate the characteristic L-shaped molecular structure. tRNAs have two regions of fundamental functional importance: the anti-codon, which is responsible for specific mRNA codon recognition, and the 3' end, to which the tRNAs corresponding amino acid is attached (by aminoacyl-tRNA synthetases). tRNAs cope with the degeneracy of the genetic code in two manners: having more than one tRNA (with a specific anti-codon) for a particular amino acid; and 'wobble' base-pairing, i.e. permitting non-standard base-pairing at the 3rd anti-codon position.
Source: RNAcentral